RNAcentral lists this non-coding RNA (171 nucleotides) under Clostridium beijerinckii. RNAcentral describes it as "Lysine sequence". It matches the Rfam family "Lysine riboswitch aptamer". From Rfam's summary of the family: Riboswitches are metabolite binding domains within certain messenger RNAs that serve as precision sensors for their corresponding targets. Allosteric rearrangement of mRNA structure is mediated by ligand binding, and this results in modulation of gene expression. Lineage: Bacteria; Bacillati; Bacillota; Clostridia; Eubacteriales; Clostridiaceae. The record is from RNAcentral.
ACCUGGGGUAGAGGUGCUGCAAUAAAUAGUAGGUAUGAGGAGUUGGCAAACGUUGAUUUAUACUAAAAGGUAUUACAGCCGAAGAAAAUAGAUUAUUAUGCGAUAAUCUUUUUCUGGGUAUUCAUAGAAUAUGUGAAUAACUGUCACGAAGAGUGUUGAGCUACAAGGUAC